Molecule: long non-coding RNA, 2978 nt
Filed under: Homo sapiens (human)
Lineage: Eukaryota; Metazoa; Chordata; Mammalia; Primates; Hominidae
Description: HSALNT0373449
Source: RNAcentral
AUUGUCUCCAAAGUUGGACUUUUGCCACUGGUUCUGCGACUUCAUGCAAUGCCAGGGAGAGCCCCUUGAUUUCCCCCAAAUCCUCAUCAGCCUCUUUCCACCCAAGCCCAGAUGAACAGUGUGAGUAAAAAAGAGUGUGGUUGCUGCGUGAACCCAGAUCUCAGACUAGUCAUCCAGCCCCAUUAUGUAGGACUCAGACACCCCUGUCCACAUCUAACCUCCAGCCCUAACGCCACAUUAGAAAUGGGGGUCUUACUGCUGCUGUCACUCCUAGUCACCCUGUUAAAUUCUAUACCGGUUUACCCAAGUCGCCCAGAGACUGGGCCCCACUUACAUAAGCUGAAGAGACCAGCUGCUUUAAUAGCCUCAUUACCUAGGAUAUAGGAUCACUGUCCAACCUCACUCCACAGUGGGCAAGUUUUUACUUCAGAAUAACUUUUGAAAUAAAUUUCCCCGGAACAGCUCGCCCCUCUCAACAGGACUCUGAGGCUCCACUACGUUGCUGUUAUUCCUGACAGAGUGAUGAAAGGAAAUUUAAACAAGUGGCAUUUUGUAAAACCACCCCAGCCUGUGUGACUUUCAAUGCCUGUCCGAUUUGGCUGGGAAAAUAUUUUAGAUCCCCAGGGCUACAUACUGUUUUUUAUACCCUCCUCUUUGUGUCAGUGAUGGAAAAGGUGUCAAUCUGCUCUGAAUCUCUCUGAACACCUCAGGAAAUAGGCUUUUGGCUCGCAGAGAGGGGAUGAGAAAUAGUUUUGAACCACCAAGUCUCUUGGAGGGUGUCAGCAGCCCCUUGAAGUAAAAGUGUGGCUGCAAACCCAGCUCUCUGCAUUAGCCAGGUGAACCUGAGCAUGCUGCAUACACCCUCAGUCUUGGUUUCUUAAUAUGUAAAAUGGGAAUGAAUAUGCGCACCUCGUGGGGUGGUUGUGAUUAAAGGCAUUCAUUAUAAAGAGCUUAGUUUCAUACAAAGUGAUCAGAAGUGUUGGUUUCCCUCCUUAAGUUUUCUUCUCAUUCCUUUUUCCCCUGCGCUUACAGCCAUGCAGUGUACAUUCAAGAAAUUUCCAUGAGGGCAUGAGGUGUCCAGUGUUAGCCUCAAAUCAAGCAUCCACGAGGUAGUUAGUGUAUACAUUAUAUACAUUUAAAGAGGAGGUCUUAGGAAAAGCCAAACCCUGUCUCAAAAUGAGCUUCCACUCUCACCUGGAUGCCAAGUAACACACACACACAAACAAAGGGCAGUAUGGAGUUCACAAGGGAAUGUUCCCGUUUAACUGGAGUCAGCUGAGCUGGAUUCUAGUCCAAUUUCUGCCAGUUAUUCCCUGUGUGACCCAUGUGAUAAAAUGUAUAGAAGGCUUAAAGUGUGCCAAGCAUUGUGGAUUAUAGCACUUAAUUCUCACACUGAUCCAUAUGGUUACUCCUGCUAUUAUCCCCAUUUUACAGAUGAGCAAACUGAGAGAGGUUACAUAACUUGACUCAGGUCACAGUAAAUACAUGGUGGAGCCAGGCUUUGAGACCAGGUAGUAUGAUUCCAGAGCCCACACCUUCCCUGCUGCAUCAUACUAAAUGGGGGCAAGUCACUUAGCCUCUGGGCCUCAGUUUUUCUCAUCUGAACAGAAAGGGGGCCAGACUAGGCGCCACCCAGGGCUCCUUUCAGCUCCAACUUUCUAUACAUCUACUAAGAAAAUUACAUAUGGAUGCUAAAUAAGUUAGGCCCAGGGUGCUUUUAAGAGAAACGUCAAAGUGGAUAGGGUUGCUUCAUUUCCCAGGGGUGGAAAGCCACUAAAAUAUUUCUUCUGUGUUCCUGGUUCCAAUUUGCCACUCAAAAAGCCAAACAAAGAAAUCAUCCCCCAGAGUUCCAUUCCAAUUGAUUUAGAUCCCUGAGGCUAAUUUUGACCAAAAUGGAAGGAGAAGCAGAAGGUGUGGAAACCCAUGGCUUUCUGCACAACAGAUACACAUGAUGAGAAGUCUGUAUUCUCUUACACACAUAUACACACACACACACACACACAACCAGUGUUCAUAUCGCCUUCCACUGAAGCUCAUACCAGUUCCUCUAGCCAAGUUGUCAUGGCAACACCAGCUGCCAAUGAGAUCAUGGAAGACAAGGUCAUAAUGGCAAUGGUGCCUUAAUAUUUUACCUGGCAAAGCCACUUAGUUAUUAAGAUGAAUAACCAUAAGUCAUAAACUCAUAGGAAGCUAGGCACCAUUCAUGUACAUGUUUAGUGUACAAUUGGGGGUGGGGAAUGGAAAUGACAGCGAAGGGAAAGGAACAAAAAGGAAGAGAGGAUGAGGCAGAGAGCGGAGAAGAAGACUCAUCUACUCACCUGAGGAUUAUGAGGAUUAUGAGUUUUAUGGAGCAAAAUUUGCCUAGAACAGGUUGUCAGCUUCUGUGGACACAGUCUUCUACCCUCAGAAAUCCCAUUGGAAGAAAGAACAAAUGAAGCAUCCCAAGGACUGGAGGAUUCUCUUCCCCCAGGGUAUUCAAGGAAGACACUGGGGAACAAAUUGAACAAAGUUUAUUUCAUCAACAAUGAAAAAUGCCCAGAAGGAAAUGAAGCACAAGAUUCAGUUACACAAAGAUGAAAGCUAUUGACCACUUGGCCACUUCUCAUACUAAAAGAGAAGGAAAUAACACGAAGUACUGGAAGUGACAUUAUAUUGUCCUCAUGGUGACAACCAGGAUGGGCCUGACAUAAGCCAGUCCAGGCUGUAUGUGUGGCCCGAGUGCACACAUGCGGUUUCUCUGGCCACCGAAUCAGAACCAGCUGGGCCCCACAAGUCAGUCUCUGGGGGCUGUGAUUCUGCAUUGCAAACAAGUCCUUGGGUAGCUCUCAGGGUUCACCAAGAUUUGAGAACCACUAGUGUGGCUGACUCCAGUGAAACAGUCCCACUUUUACUGCUUUCAACUGUCAUUUAUAUAGAUUCAGGCAAAGAAUGGUUUUUAGAAUGAUGCCCGAUGUAGCAAAUAAAAUGAUCUCAACAUA